UGGGUCAGCAUCAACCACAACAUAGCAG
RNAcentral lists this non-coding RNA (28 nucleotides) under Mus musculus (house mouse). The record is from RNAcentral. Lineage: Eukaryota; Metazoa; Chordata; Mammalia; Rodentia; Muridae.